UUCCUCCUGCUAGAACAGAGAGACAAGUUCUUCUCCACUCUUUUAUCUCUACUAUUUCCAUGUCAUCAGCGAAUGAUACUCCGGUUUGGGCAAUUGAUGGUAGGCCUUACUUCUCUUUCUCUUCUAAAUCUGUAUGGAAUGCUAUUAGGAUUUCAAAUCAAGUUCAAUCUUGGGUUCCUCUUGUAUGGCACAAAGCAGUCAUUCCACGUCAUGCUAUCACAUCCUGGCUUUUUAUACUCAAUCGUAACCCUACUCUAGAUCGUUUAUCUACAUGGGGUUUUGAUAUUGAGUUGGACUGUCUUUUGUGUGGCUUUGUCAGGGCAUGAAGUGAUGCUAGCAGACUGAAGCUUGGUGCUGAGGUAAGAGAUUAGUUGUUGGAUGUGAUCUUUAGACAUUAUUUCAUCCUGCAUAACCGGUGCUUGAUUUUCAGACUGAUCGAUGCUUGUUAGAUUUGUACUGCCUACACAAGAACUCUGUUGAUUUGCCCUUGGAUGUCCCGGAGGAUAGCCAUGAACUUUGUAACACUUGUCAACAGUGUGACCAAU
RNAcentral lists this long non-coding RNA (545 nucleotides) under Arabidopsis thaliana (thale cress). Its description in RNAcentral is "long non-coding RNA (ATHA_LNC000690)". The record is from RNAcentral. Lineage: Eukaryota; Viridiplantae; Streptophyta; Magnoliopsida; Brassicales; Brassicaceae.